RNAcentral lists this ribosomal RNA (467 nucleotides) under uncultured bacterium. RNAcentral describes it as "partial 16S ribosomal RNA". It matches the Rfam family "Bacterial small subunit ribosomal RNA", at positions 28 to 507 of the family's 1533-position model. The record is from RNAcentral.
GACGAACGCUGGCGGCGUGCUUAACACAUGCAAGUCGAACGGAAAGGCCCUGCUUUUGUGGGGUGCUCGAGUGGCGAACGGGUGAGUAACACGUGAGUAACCUGCCCUUGACUUUGGGAUAACUUCAGGAAACUGGGGCUAAUACCGGAUAGGAGCUCCUGCUGCAUGGUGGGGGUUGGAAAGUUUCGGCGGUUGGGGAUGGACUCGCGGCUUAUCAGCUUGUUGGUGGGGUAGUGGCUUACCAAGGCUUGACGGGUAGCCGGCCUGAGAGGGUGACCGGCCACAUUGGGACUGAGAUACGGCCCAGACUCCUACGGGAGGCAGCAGUGGGAAAUAUUGCACAAUGGGCGGAAGCCUGAUGCAGCAACGCCGCGUGCGGGAUGACGGCCUUCGGGUUGUAAACCGCUUUCGCCUGUGACGAAGCGUGAGUGACGGUAAUGGGUAAAGAAGCACCGGCUAACUACGUG